GUGUGUGUGAGAGAGAGAGAGAGAGACUGUUUCUGUUACAGCCUAAGGUGGCGGAGGAGGGCUAUAUCCUUAAUGGUCACACGCACACUCCCUUAGGAGGCUAGGGGAGUGUGUGCGUGUGACCAUUCAGGAAAGAGAUUUAGGGUCUACUGACACGGGCAGUUAGGCGCGUGUGGUAGGUGGCGGGGCGCCGGGGAAGGUGCUUUGAAAUUGCUGGACGUACAGCUCGGCUCCAUUUUCUGCCUGCCACAUCCAGAUCAUGUCCCUGAAAACACUUGAUUUGCCCGCACAGCAGCGGGUGCCUGUGGCCAGUUGGGUUCAGGCGAGCAGUCUGCAUGUUUUUCUCGCAGCUCCUGAAAUGGCUGUGUGAAUCGGCCCCGAGAGGCAGAGAAAUCACAUUUUAUUGAAAGGGUAAUACUUUCCAAAAUGGGAAGGACAAGGAGUUGAGCCUGCCUGACUCGUGAAAGCCAUACUUUCUGAACUGAAUACCUUGUCCUCUCCACUCCAGUUGCUGCACUGCAUGUACUCAUCUUGCUAGUACAUUUGGACAAGCAGCAAUCCUUUCGUCUCCAUGUGGAUUGUGGGUGUCAAGUACUCUGAUUCAACACCGUUAUUCAAAUUAUCCACCACUUUUUCUUCUAAUAGACCAGCAUGACCACCUGUGAGUUUGUGAUUUGGGGAAUGCUGUAAUUGUCCACCUAGGAGACUGACCUGAAGAGGAUGAUGUCUUACUACCAGAUGAUGGGACUCAACUUUCAGAGGAAUGAAAUGCCAUCCAACACUAGAUAAAGCACCCCAUUUGGCUUUGUUGACAUUAAUCCUAGUGCAACACCUACAUGUAUCUUCUGCCUUGACAAUAUUAAAUCUACCAUGUUUCUCUG
This is a long non-coding RNA of Hemicordylus capensis (graceful crag lizard), 881 nucleotides long. RefSeq lists it as uncharacterized. Lineage: Eukaryota; Metazoa; Chordata; Lepidosauria; Squamata; Cordylidae. The record is from RefSeq and is a predicted model, not a curated record. The transcript is spliced from 3 exons.